This 29-nucleotide non-coding RNA is filed under the name Rattus norvegicus (Norway rat). Lineage: Eukaryota; Metazoa; Chordata; Mammalia; Rodentia; Muridae. The record is from RNAcentral.
UAGGCAUUUGGUUUGUUUGCUUUGUCGGA